RNAcentral lists this ribosomal RNA (253 nucleotides) under uncultured bacterium. RNAcentral's name for it is "partial 16S ribosomal RNA". It matches the Rfam family "Bacterial small subunit ribosomal RNA", at positions 524 to 776 of the family's 1533-position model. The record is from RNAcentral.
UACGUAGGGGGCAAGCGUUGUCCGGAAUCAUUGGGCGUAAAGCGCGUGUAGGCGGUUCGAUAAGUCUGCUGUGAAAGUCCAGGGCUCAACCCUGGGAUGCCGGUGGAUACUGUCGGACUAGAGUACGGAAGAGGCGAGUGGAAUUCCUGGUGUAGCGGUGAAAUGCGCAGAUAUCAGGAAGAACACCCGUGGCGAAGGCGGCUCUCUGGGACGGUACUGACGCUGAGACGCGAAAGCGUGGGGAGCGAACAGG